RNAcentral lists this long non-coding RNA (436 nucleotides) under Cervus hanglu yarkandensis (Yarkand deer). RNAcentral's name for it is "lncRNA (ENSCHYG00000005595.1)". The record is from RNAcentral. Lineage: Eukaryota; Metazoa; Chordata; Mammalia; Artiodactyla; Cervidae.
CCUGUCCCUGGGGCAGAUGAGGUUUUCCAGAGGGCCCGAGAUAGACUUUCCCAGAGCAGCAGCUGGAACUGUAAAUCUCUUGACUGUUCUCUUUCGUUCCCUCCAGCUUUCUGGCAGAGAACUGCUUAAUCCAGCCUCUCCCUCCCCUUCUUGUCAGUACUCACCGGAAGAGGUGGGUAUAGCUUGGGCGGUUUGGUUGGAGCCGGAUCCUGGAAGUGUUGGCCAGAGGCUUCUGUCACUGGGAUCAGACCCUGCCAAAACAGCGGCUCUACAACCUCUGGGAGAGCUGGUGGAAGAGCAGUGGAUGUUGCAGAAGGUCCUGGCAAAGCACUGGGAGGCAGGAAAAUACCGCAAGCACUCAAAAAGGAAACGAACCAUGUUCAUGGAGAAACAGUUGGCAUAUUUAAAUUUUCUUAAAAAAAAAAAAACAAAAUAA